CCCCACUGCUAUCGGGAUAGGACUAAGACAUGCUAGUCGAGUGACUCAGGCAAAACGAGUCACGGCACACAGCUCAGUAACACGUGGCUAAUCUGCCCUUGGGACUAGAACAACCCCGGGAAACUGGGGCUAACUCUAGAUAGGUGAAGAACUCUGGAAUGAGUCUUUGCCUAAAUAGGUUCACGUUAUCCUCGUGAACUUGCCCAAGGAUGAGGCCGCGACCGAUCAGGUUGUUGGCGAGGUAAUGGCUCACCAAGCCUUUUACCGGUGCGGGCCGUGGGAGCGGGAGCCCGGAGAUGGGUACUGAGACAAGGACCCAGGCCCUACGGGGCGCAGCAGUCGCGAAACCUUUGCAAUACACGAAAGUGUGACAGGGCUAUCCCGAGUGCCAUCCGCUGAGGAAGGCUUUUACCCAGUCUAGAACGCUGGGGGAAUAAGGAGAGGGCAAGUCUGGUGUCAGCCGCCGCGGUAAUACCAGCUCUCCGAGUGGUGUGGAUGUUUAUUGGGCCUAAAGCAUCCGUAGCUGGCUAGGUAAGUCCCUUGUUAAAUCCACCGAAUUAAUCGUUGGAUCGCGGGGGAUACUGCUUGGCUAGGGGACGAGAGAGGCAGACGGUAUUCUCGGGGUAGGGGUGAAAUCCUAUAAUCCCGGGAAGACCACCAGUGGCGAAGGCUGUCUGCUAGAACGCGCCCGACGGUGAGGGAUGAAAGCUGGGGGAGCGAACCGGAUUAGAUACCCGGGUAGUCCCAGCUGUAAACGAUGCAGACUAGGUGUUUGAACGGCCACGUGCCGUUCUAGUGCCGCAGGGAAGCUGUUAAGUCUGCCGCCUGGGGAGUACGAUCGCAAGAUUGAAACUUAAAGGAAUUGGCGGGGGAGCACCACAAGGGGUGAAGCUUGCGGUUU
This 901-nucleotide ribosomal RNA is filed under the name uncultured archaeon. RNAcentral describes it as "bacterial SSU rRNA". It matches the Rfam family "Archaeal small subunit ribosomal RNA", at positions 21 to 903 of the family's 1478-position model. The record is from RNAcentral.